Molecule: ribosomal RNA, 246 nt
Filed under: uncultured bacterium
Lineage: Bacteria
Description: partial small subunit ribosomal RNA
Rfam family: Bacterial small subunit ribosomal RNA
Source: RNAcentral
AGAAUCAACGCUGGCGGCGUGCCUAACACAUGCAAGUCGCACGAGAAAGGGUAGCAAUACCUGAGUACAGUGGCGCACGGGUGAGUAACACGUGAAUAAUCUACCUCCGAGUGGGGAAUAACUGAGAGAAAUCUUAGCUAAUACCGCAUAACACUUACGAGUCAAAGCAGCAAUGCGCUUGGAGAGGAGUUCGCGGCAGAUUAGUUAGUUGGCGGGGUAAUGGCCCACCAAGACGAUGAUCUGUAU